Molecule: ribosomal RNA, 433 nt
Filed under: uncultured bacterium
Lineage: Bacteria
Description: partial 16S ribosomal RNA
Rfam family: Bacterial small subunit ribosomal RNA
Source: RNAcentral
AACGAACGCUGGCGGCAUGCCUAACACAUGCAAGUCGAACGAGACCUUCGGGUCUAGUGGCGCACGGGUGCGUAACGCGUGGGAACCUGCCCUUAGGUUCGGAAUAACUCCCCGAAAGGGGUGCUAAUACCGGAUAAUGUCUUCGGACCAAAGAUUUAUCGCCUUUGGAUGGGCCCGCGUUGGAUUAGCUAGUUGGUAGGGUAAAAGCCUACCAAGGCGACGAUCCAUAGCUGGUCUGAGAGGAUGAUCAGCCACACUGGGACUGAGACACGGCCCAGAAUCCUACGGGAGGCAGCAGUGGGGAAUAUUGGACAAUGGGCGAAAGCCUGAUCCAGCAAUGCCGCGUGAGUGAUGAAGGCCUUAGGGUUGUAAAGCGCUUUUACCCGUGAUGAUAAUGACAGUACCGGGAGAAUAAGCUCCGGCUAACUCCGUG